UCCUGACAUCUUUAGCUUUUUAGCUUUAUCAGCAUAACAUAUGAAGAUACUUAUGUAGAUCAAUUGAAAAAUUGCCCCAAUUGAAUUGACUGUUGCAACUAAUAUGACACCAGGUGAUACGAUGGGCAUGCCAUACCAGAGGCAGAUCAAGCAGUUCAAGAAGGCAUAUACAUAAGGCAAUCCUGAGAACUGUUCUGUUGAUUGGCUUCUGAUAAUU
RNAcentral lists this unclassified non-coding RNA (217 nucleotides) under Hevea brasiliensis (rubber tree). Lineage: Eukaryota; Viridiplantae; Streptophyta; Magnoliopsida; Malpighiales; Euphorbiaceae. The record is from RNAcentral.